UUUACCCUUUCAGCAAACCCCUUUUUUGAGCUCAGACGUACGAUCCCAAAAAUCAUCUCCGGGAAAGAAGAUGGCGGGGCUACUAGCAUGGGCGGCGGACGUGGUGGGAGGCAAUGGCGGAGGGAGGACCGACGAAGAAAACUACCCAGAUUCUAUUCCACUAAUCUUCACCCCCGAACAACAGACAUACGUUCAAGAACUGGAUCGGAAGGCUGCUUCUUUAAAUCGUUCGAUCCAAGAUCUACGGCAGAGAUUGCCUCCUCCGGACAUCUCGCAACGCCUGCCACACCUCCACGCGCACUCUCUGGCCUCCAAUGCCGCCCUCGCUCUCCAACUUAAUGCCCACUCCACUACUAAACAACAGGUCCUUCCUUCAACCCUCCUGAUUUUAUUACAAAAAAAAUAGUCUCAUUCCUCUGGGUAUUGGUGUAUUUAAUAAAAUUUCGUUCCUAUAGAUUUGUGAGAAUUUUGGCGUGGAUGGUUCUUACUUCUUACAAUUUCCUAACACGACGUAGUAGUUAGAGAUAACCCUAAGGUUUUGGGAAAUUGAUCUUUUUCUUGUGUUGGUGCUUGUAUUUCCACAAUUCUAAAGUACGUUUCAAAUUGAAAAUCAACUUAAUCAGGGGCAGAAAAGGUGAAAAUCAAAAGAAUUUAAAUAAUUCGAGAAGGUAUCGAAGCUCGUAGCAUAAUGCCAAGUAUUGCAAUGCAGUAAUUUUCUGCAUAUUCAAAACUGUGAUUCACGAACUUCUUUUUGUGGUUUGGUUUCUUUUUCCAUUUUUUCUCCCUCACUACUUAAUGAAAUAAUUCAUUAUUGUACAAUGGGAUUUUUCUUCGGAAUACCCUCCUUAAGUUACUUUUUGGUUCGUGGAUGUGCAAAACUGAUUGUUAGUUAUAAUUAUUCUCUCAGGUACAGCAAAGAGAAGUUAGGUUGCAGGAAGAAAACACUGAGUAUGAAAAUGCUAUAUCCAGUUGUGAAAAUAAAAUACAGGAGAAGUUGCAGGAAGCAGAUGCACUUCAAAGUAAAUUGAAGGUUAGAGGUGUUUCCAAAGCUUUACAGAUUUUGCGAGUUUUCAGAAAUAUUGUUUUUCCUUUUAGUUGCUCUACUGAUUCACCACUAUCUGUAACAGUGUGUAGUGUAAAAUACUUCUUUUCUGCAUAAUCAAUCUCUACUUUGUUAUCUGUACAAGUUCUCAUAAGCUCUUUCAAAAGCAAAAUUUGAAGUAAUUCCAUGACGAAAAGAAGAUAAACUCCUAUAUAAUGUGGAUGUAUAUUUCUUGUCAUUUUAUAUUCUGCUUCAAUUUUGCCCAUACAACUGUAACUUAGAUAUAAUAGAUGAAUAAUGUUAAUUAAAAUUUCUUCCUAACCCAUAAACUUGAUUUAAUUCUAAUAUAGUUGCUUUUAGUCUGAUUCUUGGUUCCCUUCAUCCUGCCUUUGAUGAACGAUAUUGGGACAUGAGCUAGACUGGACUUCAACUCUAUAGGGAUAAUGAUGAUCUGGUUACAUCAGCGUCAACAACUAAAUUGAGGACAGAGGCUUAGAGAGCUAUUGUUGUUGACCUUUAAUCUUUGAACUCUACAUAUUCCUAUUAGUUCCUCCACACACGAGGAUGACAUUCAAUAAAUUCACCAAUAUUUUUGUACAUGGUUUAAAAUAACCCAAUUGAGGCCCACCUUGAUGCCCACCUCAAAGGGAGGUGAACAAAGAAUGCGUCGAGGCGCUAAUUCUGAGGUAGUUUUUGGAGGUGUGCGCUACUUAAUAUUUUACGCUCUUUACUUCGCUUUAUGGACGGGCUCGCAAAAAAAUUUAAAAUUCUUAUUGACCAACUUUGGGAGUAGCCCACUAUCACUAUUAUAACAUCAAAAGGUUAUGUUUCUUAUAGACUCAAUUUGAGAGUACUCCACUACUCACUAACUAAAGGUUUCUUUUUUUGUUACUUUAUAUAUUUUUCUUUUCAUUGUUUGCAUACUUAAAUUGUUAUAUUGUGGAUUUGAAGAUUGUUUAUGGUUUAGUAUGCUCUUAUUUUGCAUUUCAAUAGUUUUAUGACUUUUAUUUGGUAUACACCUUGAGGUUUAUGCCUCAUCUCACUUAAGGUAAAAUGCCUUAUUCUCGAUUUGGCUUUUUAAGCAUUGGUUUCUAAGCAAUAGGAUUCCACUAUUACAAUUUGACCAAAUAAUUUUCAUCUCAUUACAAUCAAAAAUGUUUUGCAACUCAAGAUUUAUUCAAUCAUCACCUGGUCCGAUAUAGGACAACUGUGGGAAAAGUUGAAAUGAAGCUGUUUACAUAUGCAGUAGUAAAUAUCGUAUCAAGGUCUAAAAGAAGUGAAUAAGGCAGAUUUUGUGUUCAGAUAGUGUUCAAUUUGAUAGGUAUGAACUAUGACAUGAGAUCACAAUUUGCUUCUCAUGUUCUAGGGUUUCCCUUUGAGAGGUCAAAACUUUUGUGCUUCAAUGACUUUAGGUGGCAAAAGAGAGUGAAAGAAGAUUUGACUCUUUCAUGGUUACUGCAAAAAUAAGGUAAAUAGAACUAGAAAUGACUGCAAUAUUUUCUACUCGUCUAUCCUAGUAAAGUUUGAAUAUUUCAAUCAUCAGGUGAUUUCUAUUCACAUUUAGAACUUCACUUCCUUGUUUGACCACAAUACUGUUACAUAUGUGGCUUGCCUAUGCCACUUGCCACAUGGAAAUGCCAAAAACAGUAUUGUCUUGUGGUGUGUGAAAAAUUGCUUAGGUUCACAUCUUCUAGAGUUCUCAGUGAUUUUAUUAUAAUAUGCUAUGGGAGGUUUUUCACCACACUUUUUCUGUUGUAAUAUUAGUUAUCAUUUGCUGUCAACAUGAUUAUAUUUGUUUUGCUUUCUAAUUCUAACUACUACCAGAAAUGACUCGCUGCUACAAAGGCCCUACAUGAGAUACUUAUAUCCUUUUCGAGUUAACAUUAACAUUACCUGACAGUCAGCAUUUUUAAAAAAGAAUGGAAGUUGUUAUAUUAAUUUACCCAUGGCCUUACUUUAUGAUUCCUCUUUAUUUCUUCAUCUGAGUGUAGAAAAAAAUCAUUUCAUAUUUUUUGCAAACGGUGCAUUAUUUGUGUAUUAAUAUGUGGUCCUAUUUCUUGUAUUAUCUAUCUGAUAAGUUAUUUUCUUGCUAUUGACGCAGCUAAGAGGAAGUAAAUCACUACAUUAGUUGUUUCUGGUAAUUUUCAUUUUUUAUAGGAUUUUUUUUUUCUUCCCUCUAGGAUUCUAUGAUAAUAAACAAGUUGCUUUUGAUAAUUUUCUUUAUUUAGGAUUCUACUUUUUCAUUUUAGGAUCAGAUUAGGCUACAUUUUGAAUUGUAUAAAUGGUACCACUAUGGUCUUUUAGAAGGGUGAAUUAUUGAAUAAAAAAUUAAGUUUUUUUAUUUCUGGCUUCUCAUUGUUCUACAUGAAUGAACGAGUUAAAAUUCUUGGUAUUCUGUGUGAAUCAAUGAGUUUUUUUUUGCCUAUUUCUUGAAAUUUACGAGCUCCUUCAUAUGCGCUUAAAUGAUUUCCCUGCUUCAUACACCCAUGCAUUUACACUAGUUUAUAGCAAAUAAAAAUGAAAAAAACAACCUAAGUUAACUCCAGAUUGUCUUGUUAUAGAGCAUGACCAUGCUGGUGAGUCAAGACAAUGUGUGGAUCCAGAUAUUAUGCAAAUCUACAUUUUCACGUCUUUGUGAUUGAAAACUUUCUAAUUAAAGUCAACUUGUAGUUGUUUUGGCCUUAUGAUUUAUCUUUAAAUUAGUUACUUUAUCCUAAAAUUUCUUCAUUAUCAAAUUUAUAUGUUAAUAGUUUAUGUCUUCCAGGAAAUGGACUUGAUUGAAGAGAACUUAAUAGCAGAGCUGGAACAAGCAAAAGUUGUAGUGACUGCAAGUCGGCCUGGUGAAUCAAAUGAACUGUUUAUUGAAUCCAAAUCAGUCAUUGAAUCUCUAGACGACGCAGAAGCUCCUAGACUAUCAUUGUUGGAGAAGUUAGAGAUGAAGAAAAAAGAACUGGUCCGUUGAGUGAUUCAUUGUCAUAUUCACCAUAUAUGUAUGAAGUGAAUUUAAACUGAUGGAUAUUUUGUUUCUUCUUAGGCUUUGAUGGAAGAAAUUGUUCAAGACAUGGAGAAAAAGUGGGCGGAGGUUCAAGCUAAUGCAUUGAAGCAACCAACUCCUGGUAUAAUUUUUCAUCUUUUAUGUAGCAUGGAAUGUGGAUUGCAAGUAUUCAAUUCCUAGCAUGUAGCAUGCUAAAUUGACGAGCAUAUAUCUGCUUUUGACAUGCCCCAUUUACUUCCAUUUUUAAGUUGGAAUCUUAGCACGUAUCACUUUUGAUAUAUUCGGCGUGCUUUAAAUUUGAUGCAAUUCCAUGCAGCUCAGCGAGAGAAGGCUUUGGAUAAACAGCUUCACAGCCUAAUUGAACAACUUGCAGCAAAGCAGGUUAGAAUUUUUUAUUUUAUCUAAAUAUAAAUGAUGUAAUAAGCUUUUCUUUUGGCAACUCCUGUAAUGAUGUUAUCAAUUUGUGUUCUUUAAAGUGACAUCUGGUAGAAAAUUAAAUUACUAUACUAGUUUCUCUUUUUCUUCUUUGCAUUUCAGGCUCAAGCAGAAGGCCUUAUCAGUGAAAUUCAUCUGAGGGAGAUUGAGUUUGAAAGAUUAAAUGGACUGUGGAAAAGAAUCCAGACGCGUAACACAGAUCUGAAUACAGCAAGGAAUAGGUUUGGAAUAAGCAGCUCUGACAGUGGACCUGUUUCUUCUAAUUACACUGUUGAUCCUGACCACAAGCUUCCUUUCCAUAUAGCUGGUCGAAAUGACAGUUUGCAGAGGUUGAUGCUACUCAGGUCGGCUUUUGUGCUUUACAUUUUAGCUCUGCAUGUAUUGGUAUUCAUUAAAAUUUCAUUCUAAAUGCCCCCCCUCAUACCAAAUUUCUCUUUAUUGUUGGUCUCAUUUCUGGUUUUGAUGUCAAUACAUUCUUAUGUAUAUAUUCUACUCCUGAUUGUACAAAAACUCAUGGCGUGCUUAGUCAAACUAUUGGCUCAAUUUAACAAAGGGGAUGAAACUUUUCUUUUGAUGUGCACUCUAGCUAUAUAAUUAUUUUUCCCUCGUCUUUCUCACCCUUGCAAUUUUAUGAUUCUGCUACUAUGUUAAGUUACUUGGCAAUUGGCAUUAGAAACCUGGUUUCGUUGCAAAACAUAAGAGUGGGAUAAAGGAAAAAAUGGCCAAGCAGAACUGCAGAACAAUAAGAUGGAGCAAGUUUGAAAUAUGAUGGCUUGAAGGUUCUUUUGUCCCACCUUUGUGGCCUUUUUAUCCUUUUGUUAAUGUCCAUCAAUUCUUCUUUGAGCACUCUCAUAACCUACAUCCUCUCUCUCUCUCUCUCUCUCUCUCUCUCUCUCUCUCUCUCUCUCUCUCUCUCUCUCGUGGUUCAGGGGGUGGGGUUGUUGAUAAGUUCAUGACUUUUAUCUGAUCGGGAUCAACAACUCUAGGCGCUCUUUUCUCAAGUAGUACCACUUGAAUCGAAUUCAAAUGCGAAAAGGAAGAUUUUAUGGCAGCUGGAUAAUCCUACAUAGAUUCAAGUGUGGAAAUUAAUCUUAAAUUAUUUUGUUCAUAAUUCAUAUGAUAUGUCAUGUUCCUUUGCUAAUGCAUGUUGAUCUAAUACCACUUGAGGGAUUGAUUGGUCUCUGUUUGAUAUGGAAUUAUAGGCUCUAAGCUGAAUGAAGUUACUUCUGACAAUUGUAAUAGCUGUAAUUACAUACUUUUUGGUGGUAGGGAAAAUAGUUAUCUUUAGGUCUCUUUUGUCUCCUCUUGUGGUAUCAUAAACAUUAACUUCAAGAAUGUUGUACAAUCACAAGAGCAUAAUGCAACUUAUUGCUUGAUGUAGCAGCAUUGAGGCUUUUGAAGUUACUGCGAUGUAUGGUUUUCAUUCUUGAGAUCGUCACUGUAGAGAUGAAUAUCAGGCUCUUUUCUCUGUGUGCGUCAUAAAUGCCCUUAUAAUUUUCUCACUCAUUUUUCUUUAGCUUUUUGCCGGCCAAAUUUGGCUCUUCCGUAUGUAAGAUAUGUAGUAAAAAUUCAUUCCAAGUGUCAACAGGGCCUGGCAAACACCAGUGGACACAGUCAGCCAGUGUCUUAUUCUCUUGUGGCCAGUGCCCGUAGUGGUUGGGAUGCCCAUCUGGCCUCAGAACCAUGGCUCGAGUAGUAUCUAACAAUCUGAACCUCAAGCCCUUCUUUUCCCCUUCUUUUUGGACUUCCUUAAACUCUUCCACCUGAGUCAUGUAAAGAUCCAAGACAUACUUCUCUAACUUCAUUUCCUGCUUUUUAAAUGGUUUUGUUCUCUCACAACUUCCUCCUUUGUCCCAGUCCCCAUUCUCAAAGUGUGCUGGAGAGAAUGUUCUUAGAAACACAAGUUUGUUAUUAUAGUUUUCGAGGCUCAGAAAUGUCCUGAAAGCUGUCCGGAAAGCCAUUUUGUAUCCGUAGGAAGUUGAAAAGUUUCUGAUAUUUCUCUCGCUGCACAUAUGGCAUCCAACAAUUUGACCUUUUUCAUAGCCGAUAAAUGGUCGGAAAAACCAUUGGGAUGCCGAGAUUGUAAAAAUAUCAACAUUUUCAGUCUGCUUUGCCCAGGCUUCAUCAGCCUCAUCAAGAUAAAGCUUCAGAUGACUUGCAUUAUAGCCCUCAGGACCAUAAUCUUGUGUUCUAACCAGGUGAGGAGACCAGAAUGCAGCUAAUGUGAAGUUGUACUCAGUAUAGAGCCACCGCCUGAAUCUUGUGUCUGUCGUGGUGGAAACAUCCACAGGGUUGGCUGCCUAGGAUCUCAGGAAUUAGGCAGAGAACAAAUACUGAAAUUGCAGUCAUAGCCAAGAUAUGCGUGUAGGUUCAAGCAACUACACAUAUACAUGUAUAGAUUCUACACUCACUAAAAAAUAUGUGUAUGCUUGUGUUUGUGUAUAUGUACAUGUAUACUGAUUUUUGUAGAUAAAGGACUUACACUAGCUAAGAGGCACACCAAGGACUGCAUUUGAUUUCUUGCCAGGGAGUCGCCAACAAAAGCCAAUGUCUUACCUCUGACAAGUUCCAAGAACCUCUUGGCAUCGAAGAGAGGUAACUCGCAUUCACUUGGCUUCCACCUCCAUUUCAUGAAGUCGGAAUCUGGUCUACCAAAUUUCAUACAGUUCUGUCUAUCAUCUAUCGCACAUUUAGUUUCAUUAGUGUAAUAGGGUCCCUCUGGAAAUGGAAUCCAGUCUCCUUGGAAUAUAUUACAUUUCUGUUCUGAGGUUACUGAUGAUGAAUCGUUACUGGAAGGAUGAAGGGCUGUGGCUGUAGUGCUAUUCAUGUUCAGGGACACCGAAUCAUUGGACCUCAUGUCUAGAUCACUCAUUCGGGAUGAUAAAUUGUGUGGUAAGUAGAAAUAGAGAGCAGUGAUAAGAACCAACCCUAGGAUUGGGAAGAAUAAGCUCUUGAACAAAAUGUCCUUCCCACUGGGAAGUAGUUCUUCUUUACUCUUCAUUUUGAACUCUGGUGUUUAGUUUGGAAUUGCCAUCUUUUUAUCUUUAUAUAUUCGUACCUUACAAAAGAAGGCAAAAACACCUCCAUUAUGAAGAUUCUCUAAAUUAUUUCUGUAUUUUUGUUGCUUAUACGACAUUACACAUUUGUGUACAUGUAGCUUUGACUAUGUGAUGGUGUAUUUUUCCUUUUUUACAAUAUUUUAUUACUCAAUAUUUUUAUAUGAA
This 7696-nucleotide long non-coding RNA is filed under the name Olea europaea subsp. europaea. Lineage: Eukaryota; Viridiplantae; Streptophyta; Magnoliopsida; Lamiales; Oleaceae. The record is from RNAcentral.